GUGACUUUCUAGACAUAAAAUGUCACUUUUUUCACCUUAUCAUACAUUUUCAUCAACUUUUGCACUUUAAUGUAAACAAUCAUAUUUCGUAAUAUUUUGGGUCAGAAACAUUGCAUAGUACUAUAUUAUGUCUAAAUAUGUGAAAAGAAUCAAAUUGGAGUAGGUCGGGCAACUGAUUAUAUGAGUUUGUUAGAAAAACCACUUUCCUUUGCUCCUAGCGCCUUCUCGUUCGCUGUAUAGCGUUUUGAGCGGAUAAAGAGCACAAGUGUGUAAGGGGACACAGGAUGAAUGGGAACUAGUUUUGUUAUUGUACUUUUGAUGAAAAGAGACUUUCUAGACAUAAAAUGUCACUUUUUUCACCUUAUCAUACAUUUUCAUCAACUGUUGCACUUUAAUGUAAACAAUCAUAUUUCGUAAUAUUUUGGGUCAGAAACAUUGCAUAGUACUAUAUUAUGUGUAACUAUGUCAAAAGAAUCAAAUUGGAGUAGGUCGGGCAACUGAUUAUAUGAGUUUGUUAGAAAAACCACUUUCCCUUGCUCCUAGCGCCUUCUCGUUCGCUGUAUAGCGUUUGAGCGGAUAAAGAGCACAAGUGUGUAAGGGGACACAGGAUGAAUUGGAACUAGUUUUGUUAUUGUACUUUUGAUUCAAAGUGACAUUCUAGACAUAAAAUGUCACUUUUUUCACCUUAUCAUACAUUUUCAUCAACUUUUGCACUUUAAUGUAAACAAUCAUAUUUCGUAAUAUUUUGGGUCAGAAACAUUGCAUAGUACUAUAUUAUGUCUAAAUAUGUGAAAAGAAUCAAAUUGGAGUAGGUCGGGCAACUGAUUAUAUGAGUUUAUUAGAAAAACCACUUUCCUUUGCUCCUAGCGCCUUCUCGUUCGCUGUAUAGCGUUUUGAGCGGAUAAAGAGCACAAGUGUGAAAGGGGACACAGGAUGAAUGGGAACUAGUUUCGUCAUUGUACUUUUGAUGUAAAGUGACUUUCUAGACAUAAAAUGUCACUUUUUUCACCUUAGCACACUUUAUCAUCAACAUUUUACAUUUUAAUGUCAACAAUCAUAUUUCGUAAUAUUUUAGGUCAGAAACAGUUCAUAGUACUAUAUUAUGUGUAAAUAUGUGAAAAAUAUCAUAUUGGAGUAGGUCGGGCAAUUGAUUACAUGAGUUUGUAGGAAAAACCACUUUCUUUUGCUCCAAGCCCCUUCUGAAGCGAUGUAUAGCGUUUUGAGAGUAUAAAGAGGACAAGUGUGCAUGGGGACACAGGAUGAAUGGGAACUAGUUUUGUCAUUGUACUUUUGAUGAAAAGUGACUUUCUAGACAUAAAAUGUCACUUUUUUCACCUUAGCACACUUUAUCAACAACUUUUACAUUUUAAUGUAAACAAUCAUAUUUCGUAGUAUUUUAGGUCAGAAACAGUUCAUAGUACUAUAUUAUGUGUAAAUAUGUGAAAAAUAUCAUACGGGAGUAGGUCGGGCAAUUGAUUACAUGAGUUUGUUGGAAAAACCACUUUCCUUUGCUCCUAGCGCCUUCUCAAUCGCUGUAUAGCGUUUUGAGUGUAUAAAGAGCACAAGUGUGUUUGGGAACACAGGAUGAAUGGGAACUAGUUUUGUCAUUGUACUUUUGAUGAAAAGUGACUUUCUAGACAUAAAAUGUCACUUUUUUCACCUUAGCACACUUUAUCAUCAACUUUUACAUUUUAAUGUAAACAAUCAUAUUUCGUAAUAUUUUAGGUCAGAAACAUUUCAUAGUACUAUAUUAUGUGUAAAUAUGUGAAAAAUAUCAUACGGGAGUAUGUCGGGCAAUUGAUUAUAUGAGUUUGUUGGAAAAACCACUUUCCUUUACUCCUAGCGCCUUCUCAAUCGCUGUAUAGCGUUUUGAGUGUAUAAAGAGCACAAGUGUGUUUGUGAACACAGGAUGAAUGGGAACUAGUUUCGUCAUUGUACUUUUGAUGAAAAGUGACUUUCUAGACAUAAAAUGUCACUUUUUUCACCUUAGCACACUUUAUCAUCAACUUUUACAUUUUAAUGUAAACAAUCAUAUUUCGUAAUAUUUUAGGUCAGAAACAUUUCAUAGUACUAUAUUAUGUGUAAAUAUGUGAAAAAUGUCAUAUGGGAGUAGGUCGGGCAAUUGAUUACAUGAGUUUGUUAGAAAAACCACUUUCCUUUGCUCCUAGCGCCUUUUCAAACGCUGUAUAGCGUUUUGAGCAUAUAAAGAGCACAAGUGUGUAUGGGUACACAGGAUGAAUGGGAAUUAGUUUUGUCAUUGUACUUUUGAUGGAAAGUGACUUUCUAGACAUAAAAUGUCACUUUUUUCAGCUUAGCACACUUUAUCAUCAACUUUUACAUUUUAAUGUAAACAAUCAUAUUUCGUAAUAUUUUAGGUCAGUAACAGUUCAUAAUACUAUAUUAUGUGUAAAUAUGUGAAAAAUAUCAUAUUGGAUUCCAUCGGGCAAUUGAUUAUAUGAGUUUGUUAGAUAAACCACUUUACUUUGCUCCUAGCGCCUUCUGAAGCGCUGUAUCGCGUUUUGAGCGUAUAAUGAGCACCAGUGUGAAUGGACACACAGGAUGAAUAGGAACAAGUUUUGUUAUGGUACUUUUGAUGAAAAGUGACUUUCUACACUUCAAAUGACACUUUUUUCACCUUAUCAUCAAGUUUUACAUUUUAAUGUAAAAAAUCAUAUUUCGCCUUAUUUUAGGUCAGAAACAUUUCAUAGUACUGUAUUAUGUCUAACUAUGUGAAAAAUAUCAUAUUGGAGUCCGUCGGGAAAUUGAUUAUAUGAGUUUGUUAGAAAAACCACUUUCCUUUGCACCUAGCGCCUUCUCAAGCGCUGUAUAGCGUUUUGAGCAUAUAAAGAGCACAAGUGUGUAUGGGUACACAGGAUGAAUGGGAAUUCGUUUUGUCAUUGUACUUUUGAUGAAUAGUAACUUUCUACACUUCAAAUGACACUUUUUUCACCUUAUCAUACUUCACCAUCAAGUUUUACAUUUUAAUGUAAACAAUCAUAUUUCGUAUUAUUUUACGUCAGAAACAUUUCAUAGUACUGUGUUCUUUCUAACUAUGUGAAAUAUAUCAUAUUGGAUUCCAUCGGGCAAUUGAUUAUAUGAGUUUGUUAGAAAAACCACUUUCCUUUGCUCCUAGCGCUUUCUCAAGUGCAGUAUAAUGUUUUGAGCGUAUAAAGAGCACCAGUGUGUAUGGACAACAGGAUGAAUGGGAACAAGUUUGUUUAUGGUACUUUUGAUGAAAAGUGACUUUCUACACUUGAAAUAACACUUUUAUCACCUUAUAAUCGAGUUUUACAUUUUAAUGUAAAUAAUUAUAUUUCGUCUUAUUUUAGGUCAGAAACAUUUCAUAGUACUGUAUUAUGUCUAACUCUGUGAAAAAUAUCAUAUUGGAGUCCGUCGGGCAAUUGAUUAUAUGAGUUUCUUAGAAAAACCACUUUCCUUUGCUCCUAGCGCCUUCUCAUGCGCUGUAUAUCGUUUUGAGCGUAUAAAGAGCACCAGUGUGUAUGGACACACAGGAUGAAUGGGAACAAGUUUUGUUAUCGUAAUUUUGAUGAAAAGUGACUUUCUACACUUGAAAUGACACUUUUUUCACUUUAUCAUCAGGUUUUACAUUUUAAUGUAAACAAUCAUAUUUCGUCGUAUUUUAGGCCAGAAAUAUUUCAUUGUACUAUGUAAUGUCUAACUAUGUGAAAAAUAUCAUUCUGGAGUCCGUCGGGCAAUUGAUUAUAUGAGUUUGUUAGGAAAACCACUUUCCUUUGCUCCUAGCACCUUCUCAAGCGCUGUAUAGCAUUUUGACCGUAUAAAGAGCACUAGUGUGUCUGGACACGCAGGAUGAAUGGGAACAAGUUUUGUUAUGGUACUUUUGAUGAAAAGUGAUUUUCUACACUUCAAUUGAAGUGUAAGAAAUCAAAAUGACACUUUUU
Molecule: long non-coding RNA, 3920 nt
Organism: Ictalurus punctatus (channel catfish)
Lineage: Eukaryota; Metazoa; Chordata; Actinopteri; Siluriformes; Ictaluridae
Source: Ensembl